CAAUAAGUUGUAAAGUCGAAUAUCGAGCAUUAAGUGUUAGGUUGUUGGAAUAAAGAUAAAUAUAUAGCCAUUAAAUUGUGACUUUAAUUUAACAAUCCAGUGAUCGAACUCAAGAGUGAGUUACAGGUAGACGAUUUAUCGGGAAAUCCGUUACAAUAUUCUCCAUACCAUUGCAAUAUCAUAACCAUUGUUAGUAUACAAGUAUCUGUCAAACAUUUUUCAUGUCUAGAGAUUUUAUAUGCCGCAUACUUAUAUAAACGCGGCGGCAACGCUGAGCGUUGAAAAUUCAAUUUUGAAGCCUGCUGCCGUGAAGUAGUGCUGUUGUCUAAAUAACUGUGCUCAUCAGAACGUGUCCAUUCACAGCGACAAGACUGGCAUAUUAUAUACAAAACAAAACUUCAUUACUUGGAAGAUACCGGUUAUAACGAAGUUUCCGCAUACUAGUUCACGCUCUAUAACAGCAGUUCUACAGUAUUAAGGCACUUGGACAAUUAUUCUUAGUAUUUUGAUUUGGAAUUGCUGAAUGACUUACUUAUUAUUUGCGUUGCGAGUUGUGCACCAUAGCUCCAUUACGAUCUGAGUACUUCUUUAAAAAUAAGUAGCUUGUUUCCUAUGAAUAUGGUCUACUACCAAUUAGCUAAUUAAUAUUUUUAAGUUGGAUAUGUAGCUAAUAUUUUGUUAUUAAUUUUAAUUUACUGGAACUCCUCUCACAUGAAGCUACGAACACGCAAACCGUCAUGAACAAUUUCAGUGCAAUCAAAAGAUUUGGAAGAGAUUCUCUAAAAUCCCAUUCUACAAUAAACUUUAAAAAAUCUAGAGGCACCCAAUCAGUAACCGUAUACAUAGAGCUGAGCUAGUGCUAGUGGAGGAAUCUCCGAAAAAAAAAUUUUGUGCUAGCGAUUUAUUUUUGAGAGACCGGGUGGGUGUCACCCCAAAACAGGUGGUAUUAAGUAUAUGAUGGAAUAUAAUUAUAUAUUAAACGAAUAACGAAAAAUUAUAGUUUAAGUUUAUAGUAGUAAAACCGAAAAAGUACCUUUUCUGUCAAAACAAAAUUAUA
This is a non-coding RNA of Bactrocera oleae (olive fruit fly), 1057 nucleotides long. The record is from RefSeq and is a predicted model, not a curated record. Lineage: Eukaryota; Metazoa; Arthropoda; Insecta; Diptera; Tephritidae.